GUUGUAUAGUUAAGUGACUAAGCGUACAAGGUGGAUGCCUUGGCAAUCAGAGGCGAAGAAGGACGUGCUAAUCUGCGAAAAGCUUGGAUGAGUCGAUAAGAGGCGUUUAAUCCAAGAUAUCCGAAUGGGGAAACCCAGUAGAUGAAGAAUCUACUAUCACUUACUGAAUUCAUAGGUAAGUGAGGCAAACCGGGAGAACUGAAACAUCUAAGUACCCCGAGGAAAAGAAAUCAACCGAGAUUUCGUCAGUAGCGGCGAGCGAAAGCGAAGGAGCCUGUUAAUGAUAACAGCAGAGAUAGAGGAAUAAGCUGGGAAGCUUAGCGACACAGGGUGAUAGCCCCGUACUCGACAUCCAGGCUAUGGUACUAAGUUAACGAGAAGUAGGGCGGGACACGUGAUAUCCUGUUUGAAGAUGGGGGGACCAUCCUCCAAGGCUAAAUACUCCUGAUUGACCGAUAGUGAACCAGUACUGUGAAGGA
This is a ribosomal RNA of 479 nucleotides. It matches the Rfam family "Bacterial large subunit ribosomal RNA", at positions 1 to 510 of the family's 2925-position model.